GGAGGUAUGGCUCAGGGAUUGAGCACCUGCCUAGCAAGUGUGAGGCCCUGAGUUCAAACCCCGGUAGCUCCA
Molecule: transfer RNA, 72 nt
Filed under: Dipodomys ordii (Ord's kangaroo rat)
Lineage: Eukaryota; Metazoa; Chordata; Mammalia; Rodentia; Heteromyidae
Rfam family: tRNA
About the family: Transfer RNA (tRNA) molecules are approximately 80 nucleotides in length. Their secondary structure includes four short double-helical elements and three loops (D, anti-codon, and T loops).
Source: Rfam by way of RNAcentral